UAGUCCCUACGGGACGCAGCAGUGGGGAAUAUUGCACAAUGGGGGGAACCCUGAUGCAGCGACGCCGCGUGAGUAAAGAAGUAUUUCGGUAUGUAAAGCUCUGUCAGCAGGGAAGAAGAAAGACGGUACCUGACCAAGAGGCCCCGGCUAACUACGUGCCAGCAGCCGCGGUAAUACGUAGGGGGCAAGCGUUAUCCGGAUUUACUGGGUGUAAAGGGAGCGUAGACGGCAGGGCAAGUCUGGAGUGA
This 248-nucleotide ribosomal RNA is filed under the name uncultured bacterium. RNAcentral's name for it is "partial 16S ribosomal RNA". It matches the Rfam family "Bacterial small subunit ribosomal RNA", at positions 334 to 597 of the family's 1533-position model. The record is from RNAcentral.